This is a long non-coding RNA of Mustela lutreola (European mink), 1154 nucleotides long. RefSeq lists it as uncharacterized. The transcript has 5 exons. The record is from RefSeq and is a predicted model, not a curated record. Lineage: Eukaryota; Metazoa; Chordata; Mammalia; Carnivora; Mustelidae.
CUCUAGGCUUUUGCCAGCUGUUACAAGUUCUGCCUCAUGGCUCACGCUUGACAUUGCUGUUGGCAUGUCGCUCUUCUUUCAUUGUCACAGAGGUAUUGCUCCUCCUGUCACUGCCAAUCUUCCACUGCAGUCCUCAUGUCAUUGCUGGGACAGCUCUCACUGAAGUGACUGAGGCACUCUUCCACUUAAGAGACUCUACUGCUCUCUUAUUGUCUUCCGUCUUCCUAAGUCAAGAAACUCAUCUUAUCCCCUGGUCAGGAGAUAUUUGAGUGUCAUCAGACAUCAUGUGCUAGAAGAUAUUCUUCUUUUGUGUCCUUAGUGAGCAGGCAUCUCUAUUCUCAUUUCAGGGAGAAGCUAGCUGGGUGACUUGGCUGUCAUGUGCUGUGAGACUGAUCACCUUACCAGAGGAAAUGCUUUUAGCUUUUCACUAAAAGGAAGAUGAGGAAGAUGUUAGCUGUUGGCUGUACUAUAGUUUUUCAUUUUCGGUGCAAAUGUUCAAAGUGGAUACUAUUUCUUCCUGUUCUACAGAAACACUGAAAGUAGUAACCUAAUCAGAAAUUGAGGCCCUUUCCUAGCAGCCUGUGUUUGGGGAGAGGAUGCUUUUAGCAGAAAUAUUCUUUCAAGCUGUGAAGGAAUAUUUUACCCACAUAGUGAAACUUAAGACAGCACUUCUCAAACCUUACUAUGUAUGCAUUAUCUGUAGAUCUUGUGCAUAUGAGGAUUCUGAUUUUGUAAUUCUGAAGUGGAGACCGAGAUUCUGCAUUUCUAAUGGCUGCCCACAUGCUGCUGAUGUGAAAGUCCGGGGGCAUUUUAAUGCAAUUGAAGAUUAUCUGCCUAUCAUAUUAUAUCUUCCCCAUCUAUUAGAAUGGUGGAAAUUUCACCAUUUGAGAUUUAUAACUGUUAAGCUGUUCCUUCAUGUAUCCAAACUUGAAAUGAAAAUACCAUUGGAGAACUCUGAGAAGAAAUUCUUACCUUUCUCUUUAGUUACCAGCUGGACUUGAAGUAAAAGGUUGUAUAGAUGGGGUUGAUUUUCAACAUGUGUUCCUAACUUUUAAAGAACUACCCUAUCACGGGGUUACACCACAAUCAGUUGUCCUUGGAUAGCUUCAGAAGGAAAGGAAAACAGCAAAAGGAAGAUACAGAGAGAAAAAGAA